Molecule: ribosomal RNA, 432 nt
Filed under: uncultured bacterium
Lineage: Bacteria
Description: partial 16S ribosomal RNA
Rfam family: Bacterial small subunit ribosomal RNA
Source: RNAcentral
ACGCACGCUGGCGGCAUGCCUAACACCUGCAAGUCGAACGAGACCUUCGGGUCUAGUGGCGCACGGGUGCGUAACGCGUGGGAACCUGCCCUUAGGUUCGGAAUAACUCCCCGAAAGGGGUGCUAAUACCGGAUAAUGUCUUCGGACCAAAGAUUUAUCGCCUUUGGAUGGGCCCGCGUUGGAUUAGCUAAUUGGUAGGGUAAAAGCCUACCAAGGCGACGAUCCAUAGCUGGUCUGAGAGGAUGAUCAGCCACACUGGGACUGAGACACGGCCCAGACUCCUACGGGAGGCAGCAGUGGGGAAUAUUGGACAAUGGGCGAAAGCCUGAUCCAGCAAUGCCGCGUGAGUGAUGAAGGCCUUAGGGUUGUAAAGCUCUUUUACCCGGGAUGAUAAUGACAGUACCGGGAGAAUAAGCGCCGGCUAACUCCGUG